AAUGAUUAAAAUUAAUUACAACCUCUGGCAAAGUGUAGACCUGAGCCAAGGAGGCUUGCUUGGUCUCUCCUUCAGCUCAAAGCAGUUUGCCAAGGGUUUACAAGCUCUCCAUUGUGCUCCACCUGCCUUCCUCGGUUGUGCCCCAUGUUCCCUAGGUUGGCUGCGUGCUACUCCCUGGGGAUCCCUGUGUUCCUGUUCAGGACUUCACGUUGUCCUCUGAGAGCCCAAGAAUUUCCUCAGCACUGCUCCGUGUGUCAACUCAUUUCACUGUGCUUGCUUCCCAGUUACUCACACUGAUUUUCUUGGUAAUGAACCGAAUUCGCAGAGGUGAUUUGGAGCCAGGGAAGAGGGGAGGGUAGUGCCACGACAAGCCCUUGGAAGAAAUAUUUUAGGACAGAUGGUUUGAGUAAGCAAACAUUUAUCCAUCAAACACCCUGGGAUUGCCACAAAUUGUAUUUAAAAGCCACCAGCUCUCCCUGUUGGGGUAACCGGGAAGGAGACCAUCCAGGCAGAGUGAAGGCUGGGGGAGAAGGACCUCCCCCCACCAUGAGCAACUGGCUGAUUCAGAGGAACACAGGCUGAGAUGAUGACAACUGAAGUAAAGAAACAACUUUACACUUGUACUGUUUGGUUGACUUUGCAAGCCCAGAGCCAGUAGUCUGAGCAACUCUGUAGAGGACAAUAACAUACAAUGUAGUAACUAUUGUGAAUUUCCCUGGUAACAUUUGAUCAUCUUGAAAUCUCUCAGUGUUGUUCAUUCACAGUCUUAUCACUGUUUUGUUUUGUUUCAUUUUAUUGUUCUGUUUUAUUUCCUUAAAAAAAUUAUUUCCUUAAAAAAAAGUCACCAGGAUUUUAUCUGAUUCUCAAGUAAUUGUUACUUGAGAAUAAAGAUAUUUAUGCAAAGUGUUUAGAACUUGAUAUUUAAAGUGAUUUUUUAUUUUGCUAAGGAUAAGAUAUGAUUCUCUAAAGGGUAAAUGGUAAUUUUAUGUAAACAUGUGAGGUUUGCUUGGGACUAAGUUUUUGUUAUUUGCAAUAGUCAUGUCAUUACUACAUAGGAACGUGCAACCUAUAUACAUGUAUGAAAAACAUUUCUGCAUGAGGAAGUUUUAAAUUGGUGUGUUAAUUGCAUCUUAUUAAUUUGAUAUAAGCAAUGUUAUUGUUUAGUAUUUGUAACAUUUACAGUGUCCUGCAAUUACUUCAUAGAUAUUUAAUCUUGUCCACUAGGGGCUACCUUUAAAAGUCACCAAAGUGGUAGUUAAAAUGAACUAUGGUUUCCUAGUAAACAAACUCUUGUAUCUUAGACAUUAUUUUCCUCUAUACUUAAUCAUAACUUUCUGUUAGAUCCAGAAAUUGAUUUUAACUUACAUAUGACAGGUGUAUUUUUAAUGGUAUUUGGAAGUAGUACUAAAUUUCUUGAAAUUGAUUAAUAAAUAAUCACAUCUAUAUAAAAUACAGUAGCUAGGGAAUUUUAAAAAUACACCGCAUGCAAAAAAUAGGCUUCUAACAUGUAAAAAAUAAUUCCAGGGAACUUUCUAUGAAUUGAAUUUUUUAAAAUGCCCAUGGACUUUAUUAUUUCAAAGUAUUCCUACAGUCUGAUCUCCAAAUUUACCAGCUAUUAGUGUUUGAUCUAAGUUUCACACUCAAGAAAAUCUGCAGAGCAAGAGAGGAAUAGCAAAUAGUACUUUUGCCACAGGGUCAGUGUAGUCACUAAUAAGCUUCAGGACUUGGACAGUUACCCGCGGAUGUCAUGGAAGUGUUUGAUCAUCUUGAAAGCUCCUGCUAUUGAACAAUCAUGGUACUCAGGUAGCUAAACUAGAGACUAUUGUGCUUUAGAUCAAGUGCUUUUUGUUGUUGUUCUUCUCAGCUCCAGCAGUAGUGAAAAGUGCUGUUUUAAACUUGGUUUUUGAGGUACUAUUGCAAUAAAAAAUGUGGUGGUA
Molecule: long non-coding RNA, 1937 nt
Organism: Cavia porcellus (domestic guinea pig)
Lineage: Eukaryota; Metazoa; Chordata; Mammalia; Rodentia; Caviidae
Exons: 2
Source: RefSeq, a predicted model, not a curated record